Molecule: long non-coding RNA, 272 nt
Organism: Ostrea edulis (European flat oyster)
Lineage: Eukaryota; Metazoa; Mollusca; Bivalvia; Ostreida; Ostreidae
Exons: 2
Source: RefSeq, a predicted model, not a curated record
ACCCGAGUUUAGGAUUUCACUCUCUUCGGACCGUGUUCCGCGCAACACAGUAACACGGGUUCUUGCAAAUUCUCUCUUUGUAAGAAGUACGAAAUUCGUUGAGUAAAGUUACAGACACGUCUUCUGGGUCCCGAUGUAAUGACUCAUGGUACUUGGUGUUCCACGUAAACCGGACCAAAUGUGAACAUGCAUUGCUAGUAACGAAAACCUGAGCCAGCAGUGGAUAAUGAUUAUGUACAAUAUGUCUGCAAUAUAAAGUGAAAACGUGAAAA